This 301-nucleotide ribosomal RNA is filed under the name uncultured bacterium. RNAcentral's name for it is "partial 16S ribosomal RNA". It matches the Rfam family "Bacterial small subunit ribosomal RNA", at positions 509 to 807 of the family's 1533-position model. The record is from RNAcentral.
CAGUCGCCGCGGUAACACAGAGGGUGCGAGCGUUAAUCGGAUUUACUGGGCGUAAAGCGUGCGUAGGCGGCUUCUUAAGUCGGAUGUGAAAUCCCUGAGCUUAACUUAGGAAUUGCAUUCGAUACUGGGAAGCUAGAGUAUGUGAGAGGAUGGUAGAAUUCCAGGUGUAGCGGUGAAAUGCGUAGAGAUCUGGAGGAAUACCGAUGGCGAAGGCAGCCAUCUGGCCUAAUACUGACGCUGAGGUACGAAAGCAUGGGGAGCAAACAGGAUUAGAUACCCCAGUAGUCCCUGUCUCUUAUAC